ACCUUUUGAUUUUAUCGUAAAUUGCACAUGCGUUGACCAACACAUUAAUCGGUGUUGACGUGGCUCCCGAAAUUUGUCGACGUGGACGCUCCGGCGUUCAAAUAAAAUGACGUCGUUUUGUAGUUAUAUUCUAACACUCAAAACGACGUCGUUUUGAGUGAGUCUAAUUUAAAAAAAAAGAAAAAGAAAAAGAGAGGGCAUCUCCGGUGUCUCCCUUAUCACUCCCAGCCGCCGCACCUUGCACACCAUCGUCGUACACCGACCUCCGCCAUGCUCGUCUUGAUCAAUGGUGUUUCCAUUACUCAUAUGGUGAUGAUGCAGGCCAUGAUGAUUUUGAUCUUUGAAGUAAUGCAUCAUCCCCGUUUCCCCUCCAUGAAUUCCGUCCAUUCUCAUUGAAAUUUUA
Molecule: long non-coding RNA, 403 nt
Filed under: Salvia miltiorrhiza (redroot sage)
Lineage: Eukaryota; Viridiplantae; Streptophyta; Magnoliopsida; Lamiales; Lamiaceae
Description: long non-coding RNA (SMIL_LNC009960)
Source: RNAcentral